Molecule: non-coding RNA, 1297 nt
Organism: Paramuricea clavata
Lineage: Eukaryota; Metazoa; Cnidaria; Anthozoa; Malacalcyonacea; Plexauridae
Source: the annotation of a GenBank genome assembly
AGGGGUAAAAAGGUUUGAGUCAUUUUAGAAAUUGUGGAAGAUUUGACAUGUGGUAAAUGGUAAUCAUGCAGCUAAAGGUUGAAUAUAUAUGAAGAGUGACAGCCCAACUUGAUGGCAUGCAAGGAUGAGAGUCCAUGAGAGUUGGCAGUCACGUGAGCUUGGUUAGCUGUUCUCAAUGCUUUUCCAGCAGGACAACAGCAACCAACAACAACCAACAACAACAGACUUUGGGCUUACAAAGUCCUGCUAACAUUCGCUCUGCAAAUACAUGUUUGAUCAGAACAGCCAAUCUUACAUAAACAACACCAAGAACAACGGCAACAAAAACAUCAAGAUCAACAACAUAUUCUGCUAUACCCAAACCUCUCCUCACGAAGAACUUUCUUUGCUUAGCCAUUUUCUCUUCGGUCAUAUUCCCUUGCCAUAAAUCAAUAAUGGCUUUUCCCUUUUACACUCAAUAGCAUGCACGAAACACCAAUGAAUGCUUAUCUACAUCACGUACAAGUUGCUAUAGUAACGUCUGGAAAAUGUCUGACCCUAAUGUUCAGUUUUAAUGAAGCAAAACAAUGUUGAUGUAUACGAAACGGGAGUUAAAUAACUUUAUUAUAUCAUCUUCUAAAUUGUGAUAAAACUUUCUGAACCUGAUAAUGUUUCUUAAGCUGUAGUUCUUCUGGCACGACACGACUCAGUAAGAUAUUCUCAUCAUGUUCAUAAUUUUUCUGUUUUUCUUGGUAUUUCUCCAUUUGCUCCAAAAUAGUCUUUAAAAUACUGAAAAACAAUCAGAUUUCAAGAUUAUGUCACUCUAAGGCCUAUCCUUGGGGUAGCCUUCCCAAAUUGAGUCAGAUCUUCUGCCGAAAAAUUGUUUUCUGAAUCAAAACGGGAAUGGACCCCAAGGUCUCAGAAACGUAGCAGCGCUACCGACUGAGCUACUGGGAUAGCCAGAUUGAGACUCUCAAAAUACACGUUUCCUGAAAGUAUCUCACCUUGGCUGUUAAGCCAAGUAUUCGUUAUUACACGAUUGCAUCAUCCACACACACACAAGCAAUAUUCAUUUCAUGCCUGACCAACUCCCUCUCAUAACGAUUAAUGUCAGCUUAGCGUAUCAGUGAAUUAGAUAUCCCGCGUUGGGUGUGUGCAUGGUAUUUAUGAUUAUCUCAAUAUUUUAUAUCGAUCUCAAUAGCUCAGCGCUAGUACGUGAAACCUGAGAUCACGAGUUCGAUUCUCAGUUGGCACACUCAGAAAACAACUUUUCCAGCUGAUGAUCUGACUUCAUUUGGAAAGUCCACUUAGCGAAUCC